CACGGAGCGAGACUGCAGAUUCU
This 23-nucleotide microRNA is filed under the name Oreochromis niloticus (Nile tilapia). RNAcentral's name for it is "oni-miR-10580". Lineage: Eukaryota; Metazoa; Chordata; Actinopteri; Cichliformes; Cichlidae. The record is from miRBase by way of RNAcentral.